Molecule: ribosomal RNA, 429 nt
Filed under: Acidobacteriota bacterium
Lineage: Bacteria; Pseudomonadati; Acidobacteriota
Description: Acidobacteria bacterium partial 16S ribosomal RNA
Rfam family: Bacterial small subunit ribosomal RNA
Source: RNAcentral
UGGGGAAUUUUGGACAAUGGGGGAAACCCUGAUCCAGCCAUACCGCGUGUGCGAUGAAGGCCUUCGGGUUGUAAAGCACUUUUGGCAGGAAAGAAACGUCAUGGGUUAAUACCCCGUGAAACUGACGGUACCUGCAGAAUAAGCACCGGCUAACUACGUGCCAGCAGCCGCGGUAAUACGUAGGGUGCAAGCGUUAAUCGGAAUUACUGGGCGUAAAGCGUGCGCAGGCGGUUCGGAAAGAAAGAUGUGAAAUCCCAGAGCUCAACUUUGGAACUGCAUUUUUAACUACCGGGCUAGAGUGUGUCAGAGGGAGGUGGAAUUCCGCGUGUAGCAGUGAAAUGCGUAGAUAUGCGGAGGAACACCGAUGGCGAAGGCAGCCUCCUGGGAUAACACUGACGCUCAUGCACGAAAGCGUGGGGAGCAAACAGG